This 2918-nucleotide ribosomal RNA is filed under the name human gut metagenome. RNAcentral describes it as "bacterial LSU rRNA". It matches the Rfam family "Bacterial large subunit ribosomal RNA". The record is from RNAcentral.
UCAAGCUACAAAGAGCGCAAGGGGAAUGCCUUGGCACUGGGAGCCGACGAAGGACGUAGCGAUCUACGAUAAGCCACGGUGAGCCGAAAGCAGGCAUCGACCCGUGGAUUUCCGAAUGGGGCAACCUGGCUGAAUAGAACUCAGUCAACAUACGGUGAAUAAAAUAGUCGUAUGUAGGGAACCGCCUGAACUGAAACAUCUAAGUAGGGCGAGGAAAAGAAAUCAACCGAGAUUCCGCAAGUAGUGGCGAGCGAACGCGGAAGAGGCCAAACCGAGAGUAGUAAUACUUUCGGGGUUCGGACAGCGGACGGUAUGCUGAAGGUUAGCAGAAGGACAUGGGACGGUCCACCAAAGAGAGUGAAAGUCUCGUAUGCGAAAACUGAAAGCAGCCAGCUGAAUCCAGAGUACCGCCGGACACGUGAAACCCGGUGGGAAUAUGGGGGGACCAUCCUCCAAGCCUAAAUACUACCCAGUGACCGAUAGCGUAUAGUACUGUGAAGGAAAGGUGAAAAGAACCCCGGGAGGGGAGUGAAAAGAACCUGAAACCUUGUGCUUACAAGCACACAAAGCACGUCAACGUGUGAUGUGGUACCUUUUGUAGAAUGGUCCGGCGAGUGAAUGUAACUGGCGAGGUUAAGUUCUUAAGGAACGGAGCCGAAGCGAAAGCGAGUCUGAAUAGGGCGUCUUAGUCAGUUGUAUUCGACCCGAAACCGGGUGACCUAUCCAUGUCCAGGAUGAAGUUAAGGUAAAACUUGAUGGAGGUCCGAACCCACGGUCGUUGAAAUGCCCGGGGAUGAGAUGUGGAUAGCGGAGAAAUUCCAAUCGAACCCGGAUAUAGCUGGUUCUCUCCGAAAUAGCUUUAGGGCUAGCCUCGACUGAACAUUACCGGAGGUAGAGCACUGAAUGGGCUAGGGGCCGAGAGGUUACUGAACCCUAUCAAACUUCAAAUGCCGGAAAAUGAUAGUCGGGAGUCAGACUGCGUGAGAUAAGUUUCGUAGUCGAAAGGGAAACAGCCCAGACCCACAGCUAAGGUCCCAAAGUACGGUUAAGUGGAAAAGGAUGUGGAGUUGCACAGACAACCAGGAUGUUGGCUUAGAAGCAGCCACUCAUUAAAAGAGUGCGUAAUAGCUCACUGGUCGAGUGACUCUGCGCCGAAAAUUUAACGGGGCUAAAUCGUACACCGAAGCUUGGGAAUAUCAGUUAUUCUUCAUGGACUUGCUAAGGUAAGACACCAUGGCACGGAGUGCCAUCAAAUUGUCCAGAAGGAUAAAGCGAGCUUGUGAAGAAUAACUGAUAUUGGUAGGAGAGCGUUGAAUGCGGGGUGAAGUCAGAGCGAAAGCGCUGGUGGACUGCAUUGAAGUGAGAAUGCCGGAAUGAGUAGCGAGAUUUAUGUGAGAAUCAUAAAGGCCGAAAGACUAAGGUUUCAGAAGGAAGGUUCGUCCGCUUCUGGUUAGCCGGGAGCUAAGGUGAGGCCGAAAGGCGUAGCCGAUGCACAUACGGUGGAGAUUCCGUAGCCGUCGAAAUAUUUAAGCAAAGGGACACUUAUGAAGGACAUGACCCGGGCGAUGGUAGCCCCGGGCGUAAGGGACUGAAAACAAGUAGGGAAGCAUGUUUGGAUUAAGGCGAGAAAAGCUUUGUGUAUAUAUCAGACGUCCGUACCGCAAACCGACACAGGUAGUCAGGAAGAGGAUUCUAAGGCCAACGGGAGAAGGGUAGUUAAGGAACUCGGCAAAUUGACCCCGUAACUUCGGAAUAAGGGGUGCUCACGAGAGUGAGCCGCAGUGAAUAGGUCCAGGCGACUGUUUAUCAAAAACACAGCUCUCUGCUAAAUCGAAAGAUGACGUAUAGGGGGUGACACCUGCCCGGUGCUGGAAGGUUAAGAGGAGGAGUGCAAGCUCCGAAUUGAAGCCCCAGUAAACGGCGGCCGUAACUAUAACGGUCCUAAGGUAGCGAAAUUCCUUGUCGGGUAAGUUCCGACCCGCACGAAUGGUGUAACGAUCUGGACACUGUCUCAACUACCCACCCGGCGAAAUUGUAGUACCGGUGAAGAUGCCGGUUACCCGCGGCAAGACGGAAAGACCCCAUGGAGCUUUACUGUAACUUGAUAUUGGGUCUUGGUAUUCUAUGUACAGGAUAGGCGGGAGACUAUGAAACAUACACGCCAGUGUAUGCGGAGUCACCCUUGGGAUACCGCUCUUAGAGUACUGAGAUUCUAACCUGCGGCCGUGAAUCCGGUCGGGGGACAUUGUCAGGUGGGCAGUUUGACUGGGGCGGUCGCCUCCUAAAAGGUAACGGAGGCGCUCAAAGGUUAGCUCAGCACGGUCGGAAACCGUGCCUCUGAGUGCAAACGCAAAAGCUAGCCUAACUGCGAGGCUGACGGGCCGAGCAGUAACGAAAGUUGGAGUUAGUGAUCCGGCGGUAUGUGAAUGGAAAUGCCGUCGCUCAACGGAUAAAAGCUACCCUGGGGAUAACAGGCUGAUCUCCCCCAAGAGUCCACAUCGACGGGGAGGUUUGGCACCUCGAUGUCGGCUCAUCACAUCCUGGGGCUGAAUUCGGUCCCAAGGGUUCGGCUGUUCGCCGAUUAAAGUGGUACGCGAGCUGGGUUCAGAACGUCGUGAGACAGUUCGGUCCCUAUCUGUCGUGGGCGCAGGAUAUUUGAGGAGUGCUGUCCUUAGUACGAGAGGACCGGGAUGGACGCACCUCUGGUGCACCAGUUGUCACGCCAGUGGCACAGCUGGGCAGCUAUGUGCGGAACGGAUAAACGCUGAAAGCAUCUAAGCGUGAAGCCGCCUCCAAGAUAAGAUAUCCCAUAGCAUAAGCUAGUAAGACCCCUCAUGGACUAAGAGGUUGAUAGGCUGCAUGUGUAAGCGUGGUGACACGUUUAGCUUGGCAGUACUAAUAGGUCGAGGGCUUGACUU